Molecule: non-coding RNA, 45 nt
Filed under: Echinostoma caproni
Lineage: Eukaryota; Metazoa; Platyhelminthes; Trematoda; Plagiorchiida; Echinostomatidae
Source: RNAcentral
GCACUGCUGACGAGUCCCAAACAGGAGGAAGUAGCUGUCCAGUGC